ACUCCUACGGGAGGCAGCAGUGGGGAAUAUUGGACAAUGGGCGCAAGCCUGAUCCAGCCAUGCCGCGUGAGUGAUGAAGGCCCUAGGGUUGUAAAGCUCUUUCACCGGUGAAGAUAAUGACGGUAACCGGAGAAGAAGCCCCGGCUAACUUCGUGCCAGCAGCCGCGGUAAUACGAAGGGGGCUAGCGUUGUUCGGAUUGACUGGGCGUAAAGCGCACGUAGGCGGACUAUUAAGUCAGGGGUGAAAUCCCGGGGCUCAACCCCGGAACUGCCUUUGAUACUGGUAGUCUUGAGUUCGAGAGAGGUGAGUGGAAUUCCGAGUGUAGAGGUGAAAUUCGUAGAUAUUCGGAGGAACACCAGUGGCGAAGGCGGCUCACUGGCUCGAUACUGACGCUGAGGUGCGAAAGCGUGGGGAGCAAACAGGAUUAGAUACCCCAGUAGUCCCAUGAU
This 450-nucleotide ribosomal RNA is filed under the name uncultured organism. Its description in RNAcentral is "partial 16S ribosomal RNA". It matches the Rfam family "Bacterial small subunit ribosomal RNA", at positions 335 to 801 of the family's 1533-position model. The record is from RNAcentral.